Molecule: ribosomal RNA, 242 nt
Filed under: uncultured bacterium
Lineage: Bacteria
Description: partial 16S ribosomal RNA
Rfam family: Bacterial small subunit ribosomal RNA
Source: RNAcentral
CGACCGGCGCACGGGUGAGUAACGCGUAUCCAACCUACCCAUUACUGUGGGAUAACCUGCCGAAAGGCAGACUAAUACCGCAUGGUCUUCGAUGACGGCAUCAGAUUUGAAGUAAAGAUUUAUCGGUAAUGGAUGGGGAUGCGUCUGAUUAGCUUGUUGGCGGGGUAACGGCCCACCAAGGCAACGAUCAGUAGGGGUUCUGAGAGGAAGGUCCCCCACAUUGGAACUGAGAUACGGUCCAA